UUUUGAUGUGAAUCCAGAUCGGCCGUAAGCAGGGAAGUCAGAAACCUGAAUAUUCUUGGGCUACAUUUCGGGCACGAUGCGGGGGUCGCAGUCGUGCGUGAUGGCGACGUGGCCAGUUUUGUGCUGCGCGAGCGCUUCAAUCGUGUGAAGCAUGCCUGCAGCCUGGACGUGGCGCACAUCGACCAUGCGCUGGCCGAUGCAGGCGUCGCCAUUGAUGAUCUCGACUGCUGCGCGAUCGUAUCGACCCAGGGUUACGAGUUGAUCGUCGACGACCGGUCUUCGAUCUCGCUGUCGCUUGAAAAGCAUCCACGGGAUUCUGUUCCAUCGCCGUUGCAAGACCUGUACGUAGCG
RNAcentral lists this unclassified non-coding RNA (351 nucleotides) under uncultured bacterium. Its description in RNAcentral is "contains 16S-23S intergenic spacer region". The record is from RNAcentral.